GAAGAGGUGGGUGAAAUGAUCAUUCUAGAACAGUAUCUUCGCAUGCUUUCUCCUGAACUCCAGGUCUGGGUCCGGGAACGGGACCCUAGGACCGCAGCGGAUGCCGCGUCAUUAGCUGAUGUCUUUGUGGCUGCAAGAAAAAAGAAUCAACCGUGGAGUUGGACAACUGGUAGUGACUCCCGACGGGCCCCGUUCCAUCAGAAACCGGUGCCUGGGGCGGGUAAGUCUCCCAAGGGAGAUUUUCCAGAAGUUAGACGCCUUAAUUGAUCGAUUGGGCAAAGCCAAAUACCUGACGACCAUCGAUUUGUCCAAAGGGUAUUGGCAGAUACCAUUGACACAACAGGCCCGUCCUUUAACAGCAUUUAGGACACCAUGGGGGCUAUUCCAUUUCCGGGUUUUACCCUUUGGCCUGCAUGGGGCACCGGCUACCUUUCAGAGACUUAUUGACCAGGUGUUACAUGGGCUAACCUUUGCUGCAGCUUAUUUGGAUGACAUAGUCAUCUACAGUACUACCUGGGAGGAGCAUGUUCAACACCUUCAAGAGGUUCUACAGCGUCUGCAAGAAGCAGGCCUCACAGUGAAUCCUGCCAAGUGUGCUGUAGCCAGGACGGAAACAGAGUACCUGGGCUUUGUCAUUGGCAACGGGGUAGUGCGACCACAAGUCAAAAAGGUCCAGGCAUUAGAGGAAGCUCCCAUUCCUCAGACACGUAAGGAACUCAGGUCCUUUCUGGGAAUGGCGGGAUUUUUAUAAUCGUUUUAUCCCUCACUUUUUCUAGCAGGGCUGCCCUGUUGACAGAUAUGGUGGGGGUUCGAUGUCCAAAUCAAUGCCAGUGGUCAGAAGAAAGGAUGACGGCCUUUCGAGAUAUUCAAUCGGCGUUAAGAGAAAAUGCUGUGCUGUACAGUCCAGACUUUGAUCAAGAAUUUAUUGUGCAGACGGAUGCCUCUGAGAGGGGCAUAGGGGCUGUGUUGUUACAGGGACCACCUGGUGAGCGACGGCCUGUGGCUUUCAUUAGCCGCAAACUCUUUCCAAGGGAAGUCCGCUAUUCGACAAUAGAGAAGGAAUGUUUGGCAGUUAAAUGGGCCCUAGACUCCUUGAGAUAUUACCUACUUGGAAGGGAGUUCAAGUUGGAAACGGACCAUAAAGCUCUCCAGUGGCUGGAAAGGAUGAAAGAUACCAAUGGGAGGAUCACACGGUGGUAUCUGGCUAUGCAGCCUUUCCGGUUCACUGUCCAGCACGUUCCGGGCAAGUCCAAUGUGACCGCUGACUACUUCUCUCGUUGUAUCCACGAGAUGCCUGAAGGGAGGGGGUGUGUGAUGGCCGAACCUGUGGCCACACAUUGAUAAGGGUAACAUCAACGCAUUCAUUCACGAUACAUAUAUUCAUUUACAUACUGAUAGUUAUUUUCUUCCUUUUUAUUAUUCAUUUAUAUUUGAAUUUAUAGUAUAGGAUUUAAGGUUUAUGUAUAAGAAAAUCACUACACAGACUUUGUUUGACAAAUUGCAAAGCUUUAUUUAUACAUGUUAGUACUUCGUUCGUUGGUUUGGAGUGCACACUUACUGGCUUGCGUUGUACUAUUUCUGUUUCCUUAUCUUUGUUUCUAUUUGAGUUUAAGUUACCGUGGCAUGGAGGUUGGAUGAAUGGCGUUGACUCAGGUGUGCGUCUUUCCGUCAUCGCGGUCUUGACUGACAAAAGGCUGAGGCGCGUGCGGCAGUCAAUAUUUAUGGUCUGAGCAUUCCACUGGACGAUACCAACUGGAUGCUAUGUCAUGGGGGGGUGAAGAAAUGAAGUUAUAUUUCUGAUUGGUUCCAAUUUAUUUUUAGUAUUAAUAUUUGUUGUUUUGUAUUAUUAGAUUGUUUUGUUUGUUACUCUAUUUACUUUGAUUAGAUAACUUGUAACUAAUUUGUUGGUUUAUAAAGUGUUGAUUGUAUGUUUUCCCCUGUCUUGUUUAAGUGAGCUCACCGUCUGUGAUAAAUACCUGUCUGUUGUCUCAUUUAGGGGGUUAGUUUUGUUUUGUUCAGUUCUUCUUAAGUUUCGUUAUAUUGAAUUAAAACUUGUUUUGUUUACUUUAUUAAAGUCUAGCUAGAUUAUUUGUUAGAACAAGUUGAUUUAUUUUGUAACUGAGACCUUUUUCUUAUUUUUGAGUAAAAUAAAACCUUUUUUUUGUUGGCAAUCCUGUGUCCUCGUGUCUUACUACUUGGCGAUAUCCGACAAUAUGGAUUCGCGCUUAAUAGUCUGUGUGUUUCUCGUGGACUUGGGAUAGACUCUGUAGUGAUGGUUUGCAUCAGGACGACUUGUACUUUUGUCGAGAAGAUAUGCUGAGAUAUGUGACGGCAGCACUGGGGUUACCCAAAUAAAAGGCAGAAGUGGGGGCAAUUGAUGAUGUACCCAAAACCCAUUACCGCCAUACCAUUACCAUGUCUGAAGGUUAUAAUAUCAGCUGGCUGUUUCUAAUAAGUGUUUGCAGUUACCUUUCUGGUUGUUGACUGAUUAGCAGCGGAGGUGGUGGUCAGAUGGAUGCUGAUGGCUGCAGUUCUGUCACUGUCUGUCGUUUCUGGGCCGUCUCUGUCUACUCAGAGUAGGGAAUUGGGAGGAAUGAGCUGGGUAUAGCAGGUGAGAUGUGGCCCUGCGGUUUUGGCAUUUUGUCUAUGUUUAUCGUGUUCCCACGCUGUUCCUCCUCAUUGCCUCUCUGUAAGGCCCUCCCUGGUGGCCUUGUCACUCUAAUUAGGUGACAGACGGCAGCAAACAAUAUCCCUCAUUACUGCUGACAUGGGCGACUCUCAUAGUCACACACAAUUGUUAUCCCUUCUUAUAUACACAAACACAGACACGCAUACACAUACACAGAAGAGGCUAAAACAAAUAUAUGCACUAUGACAAGCAUCAAUCUUGUGUAAUGUCUCACUUGUUCUCAUCCUCAAACAAUUGCUGCAGAAGCCGAGACAUGUCCUUAGUCAGGGUUAAGCAAAUGUUGGAAUAGCUGCCUAUUAUUUUGGUACGCACCUCAAAAUAAAUGUGAUAGUAAUGCUGGUUGUUCUUCAGUCACUAUGGUGAUUGGCAGUAUCGCAGGUAUUGUGGUGUCUGUGGAAUUUCAGGAAGCUAUUUUUUUUUCGUCACACACAUUGAAGGAAUAGGUCAACCAAAAAUAAAAAUCUGAACUUUUAUUCAUCCUCAUGUUCUUCUAAACCUGUAGGAUUUCUUUUUAUCAUAUGACAUGUAAAAGAAGAUGAUUGUCCAGGCUGCUCUUUUACAUGCAAUGAAACUCGGUUGUAACUUAUUAAGUGAUAGUAACAGUCAAACCCCAAAAAAGUAAAUAAAUAAAAAAAUAAUAAUAAUAAAAAAAAACAUUUAAUAUAUAUAUAUAUAUAUAUAUAUAUAUAUAUAUAUAUAUAUAUAUAUAUAUAUAUAUAUACACACACACACACACACACACACACACACACACACACACACACACACACAUAUAUAAACUAUAUUAAGUAUUUUAAAGACACAAAAUAACUUGUGAUAAAUAUGAGCCAUUAAGUGUUGAAAAUCUCACCCUUCGCUACAGCUAUCAAAUCUUAUUUGUACCUGCAUUAAGUUAAAUACAUUCAAGCAUCCUAAAUCACGUCACAAGAUAUGUGUCACAAUGAUGUUGUGUGAAGCAUGACAAUUUUUAAUGCGUCAUGAUUAAAUUACCACAAGUGUGAAUCAAAGGGUUAUUUGAGGGUGCAUGAGUAUAAAGUAAAUAAGUG
Molecule: long non-coding RNA, 3735 nt
Organism: Cyprinus carpio carpio
Lineage: Eukaryota; Metazoa; Chordata; Actinopteri; Cypriniformes; Cyprinidae
Source: Ensembl